This is a long non-coding RNA of Rhododendron vialii, 425 nucleotides long. RefSeq lists it as uncharacterized. The record is from RefSeq and is a predicted model, not a curated record. NCBI's taxonomy places the organism in Eukaryota, Viridiplantae, Streptophyta, Magnoliopsida, Ericales, Ericaceae. The transcript has 2 exons.
CGUCCCUUCCUUAUACUGAGAGAAAAAUGGCUUCAAGCAAGCUUUUUGUAGUUUUGCAAGUCCUUUUGAUCUCUAUCAUUCUCCUGGCUUUUCAGGUGGCUGCUAGAGAACUGAUCGAGGCUUUUAGCGCUCUAAAUCCUCAUCGUAAGAUGGUGGUGGACGAUCCUUGGGGCCACAACCCUCGACAUGAAUGAUUUUGCAAGUCUCACAAACUAAAAGCUUAAUUUGGGCCAAAGAGGUUGGCAUGGUGGACAAGAUUUCCUGAUGUUUGCGUUCGAAUCUCUCUACUGCAAACUACUACUCUUCUGUACUGUUUUCUCUUUUACUGUAGUAAAAAAAGUAAAAAAAUGAAAAUAAGUCGUUUGUAAAUCUGUUGGGAAGCACUGCUUAGUCCAAUCGCAUCGCUGUCGUUUGAGUGCUCUCUA